Molecule: non-coding RNA, 73 nt
Organism: Cannabis sativa
Lineage: Eukaryota; Viridiplantae; Streptophyta; Magnoliopsida; Rosales; Cannabaceae
Source: the annotation of a RefSeq genome assembly
CCGACCUUAGCUCAGUUGGCAGAGCGGAGGACUGUAGAUCCUUAGGUCACUGGUUCGAAUCCGGUAGGUCGGA